UGGGGAAUUUUCCGCAAUGGGCGAAAGCCUGACGGAGCAACGCCGCGUGAGGGAUGAAGGCCUCUGGGCUGUAAACCUCUUUUAUCAAGGAAGAAGAUCUGACGGUACUUGAUGAAUAAGCCACGGCUAAUUCCGUGCCAGCAGCCGCGGUAAUACGGGAGUGGCAAGCGUUAUCCGGAAUUAUUGGGCGUAAAGCGUCCGCAGGCGGCCUCGUAAGUCUGUCGUUAAAGCGUGGAGCUUAACUCCAUUUCGGCGAUGGAAACUGUGAGGCUUGAGUGUGGUAGGGGCAGAGGGAAUUCCCGGUGUAGCGGUGAAAUGCGUAGAUAUCGGGGAGAACACCAGUGGCGAAGGCGCUCUGCUGGGCCAUAACUGACGCUCAUGGACGAAAGCCAGGGGAGCGAAAGGGAUUAGAUACCCCUGUAGUC
Molecule: ribosomal RNA, 425 nt
Filed under: uncultured cyanobacterium
Lineage: Bacteria; Bacillati; Cyanobacteriota
Description: bacterial SSU rRNA
Rfam family: Bacterial small subunit ribosomal RNA
Source: RNAcentral